This 175-nucleotide small RNA is filed under the name Parastrongyloides trichosuri. Its description in RNAcentral is "Manganese sequence". The stretch from base 16 to 106 matches the Rfam family "Manganese Mn2+ riboswitch aptamer (yybP-ykoY)". From Rfam's summary of the family: This RNA was originally discovered in E. coli during a large scale screen and was named SraF. The family was later found to exist upstream of related families of protein genes in many bacteria, including the the yybP and ykoK genes in B. subtilis. Lineage: Eukaryota; Metazoa; Nematoda; Chromadorea; Rhabditida; Strongyloididae. The record is from RNAcentral.
CUAGAGGGGCGGCCGUUGGGGAGUAGCUUCCGACAUAUCCCAGUCGGGAUCGCGUCAACAUGCUUGCCUUAGGGCAUGGCGCGAUCAGCGGAUUUUGUGUCCGCCUAGCGAGACCAGCAUGCUGCACCCGUGGGGCCGGCCCGCGCGUGGAGCGUGCUGUCAUACGCCCGGCCGA